CAGAGGGUGCAAACGUUGUUCGGAAUUACUGGGCGUAAAGCGCGUGUAGGCAGUUUCGCAAGUCGGGUGUGAAAGCCCUGGGCUCAACCUAGGAAGUGCACUCGAAACUGCGAGACUUGAGUCCUGGAGAGGAAGGCGGAAUUCUCGGUGUAGAGGUGAAAUUCGUAGAUAUCGAGAGGAACACCGGUGGCGAAGGCGGCCUUCUGGACAGUGACUGACGCUGAGACGCGAAAGCGUGGGGAGCAAACAGGAUUAGAUACCCUGGUAGUCCACGCCGUAAACGAUGGGUGCUAGGUGUCAGGGGCUUUGACCCCUCUGGUGCCGUAGCUAACGCAUUAAGCACCCGCCUGGGGAGUACGGCCGCAAGGCUAA
RNAcentral lists this ribosomal RNA (372 nucleotides) under uncultured organism. RNAcentral describes it as "bacterial SSU rRNA". It matches the Rfam family "Bacterial small subunit ribosomal RNA", at positions 526 to 897 of the family's 1533-position model. The record is from RNAcentral.